Molecule: small nuclear RNA, 307 nt
Filed under: Microtus ochrogaster (prairie vole)
Lineage: Eukaryota; Metazoa; Chordata; Mammalia; Rodentia; Cricetidae
Description: 7SK RNA (ENSMOCG00000003700.1)
Rfam family: 7SK RNA
About the family: 7SK was discovered as an abundant small nuclear RNA in the mid-70s but a possible function has only recently been suggested. Two independent studies have found that 7SK RNA binds the CDK9/cyclin T complex (known as elongation factor P-TEFb). P-TEFb activates transcription by phosphorylating the C-terminal domain of RNA polymerase II.
Source: RNAcentral
GGAUGUGAGGGUGAUAUGUUUGCAACAUAUGUCACCCCAUUGAUCACCAGGGUUGAUUUCAGCUGAUCUGGCUAGCGAGGUGGGUGUCCCUUUCCUCCCUCACCACUCCAUGUGUGUCCCUCCCAAAGCAGCACACUAAAUUGAAAAGGACAACCUUCUCUGAAUAGAGGAGGAUUGGUCUUCUGUAAAGAAUGUAAGUGUAGCUGCACUCUCCUGCUAGAAUCUCCAAACAAGCUCACGAAUCAGGUAUAUAUAUAUACCUGAUUUUAUAUAUAUAUAAAAAAAUCUUAAUAGAGAAUUAAAAUUU